RNAcentral lists this ribosomal RNA (253 nucleotides) under uncultured bacterium. RNAcentral's name for it is "partial 16S ribosomal RNA". It matches the Rfam family "Bacterial small subunit ribosomal RNA", at positions 524 to 776 of the family's 1533-position model. The record is from RNAcentral.
UACGGAGGAUGCGAGCGUUAUCCGGAAUUAUUGGGUUUAAAGGGUCCGCAGGCGGACAGGUAAGUCAGUAGUGAAAAACCUGGGCUUAACCCCGGUCGUGCUACAGAAACUGCCUGACUAGAGAAAGUUUGGCGUUGGCGGAAUGUGACAAGUAGCGGUGAAAUGCAUAGAUAUGUCACAGAACACCGAUAGCGAAAGCAGCUGACGAAGACUAUUCUGACGCUCAGGGACGAUAGCGUGGGGAGCAAACAGG